UUUUUGAAAACUCAUAGAUAUGAUUUUGCAAAGGGUGCACCAAAGAUAUGGUUUAUAUUGAAUAUUUUGGCAACAUAACGAUCCCAUUGGGUUCCAUUUGUAGAGAAGGAGUGGUGUAAGGGGCUCCUUCCACUGAAUGCCCUACUUUUUGUCUUUCUUCUUUUCUCUGCCCUUCUUCUUCCUUCAACAUGUACUCUAAAGUUGUCCCCUUGAGUUAUAAAAGUGGGGCCUUGGGACCCUUAGAGGACACAAUCACCAAACUCCAUAGUUCGACAGCGAACACACACCCACACCUGCACACACCAUAG
This 308-nucleotide long non-coding RNA is filed under the name Sorghum bicolor (sorghum). RNAcentral's name for it is "long non-coding RNA (SBIC_LNC007895)". The record is from RNAcentral. Lineage: Eukaryota; Viridiplantae; Streptophyta; Magnoliopsida; Poales; Poaceae.